AAAUGAAUAGACGGGGGCUCGCACAAGCGGUGGAGCAUGUGGUUUAAUUCGAUACUAAGCGGGGAACCUUACCUGGACUUGACAUCUCUGGAACCUCCUAGAAAUAGGGGGGUGCCUUCGGGAGCCAGAUGACAGAUGAUGCACGGUCGUCGUCAGCUCGUGCCGUGAGGUGUACCGUUCAGUCGGCAAACGAGCGCAACCCCUGUCCUGUGUUGCAUAUCACGGGAGACUGCCUCGUCCAACGGGGAGGAAGGCGGGGAUGACGCCAGAUCAGCGUGUCUCUUACGUCCAGGGCGACACACGUGCUACAAUGGCGAGUACAGAGGGUCGCAAAGCCGUGAGGCGGAGCUAAUCCCUAAAACUCGUCCCAGUUCGGAUUGGAGGCUGCAACUCGCCUCCAUGAAGUCGGAAUCGCUAGUAACCGCAUAUCAGCCAUGGUGCGGUGAAUACGUUCUCGAGCCUUGUACACACCGCCCGU
This 478-nucleotide ribosomal RNA is filed under the name uncultured bacterium. RNAcentral's name for it is "bacterial SSU rRNA". It matches the Rfam family "Bacterial small subunit ribosomal RNA", at positions 903 to 1397 of the family's 1533-position model. The record is from RNAcentral.